AACGAACGCUGGCGGCAGGCCUAACACAUGCAAGUCGAACGCCCCGCAAGGGGAGAGGCAGACGGGUGAGUCACACGUGGGCAUCUACCCAUCCCUACGGAACAACUCCGGGAAACCGGAGCUAAUACCGUAUCUGCCCUUUUUGGCAAAGAUUUAUGGAGGAUGGAUGAGCCCGCGUCGGAUUAGCUAUUUUGUGGGGUAAAGGCCUACCAAGACGACGAGCCGUAGCCGGUCUGAGAGGAUGCUCAGCCACACUGGGACUGAGACACGGCCCAGACUCCUACGGGAGGCAGCAGUGGGGAAUAUUGGACAAUGGGCGCAAGCCUGAUCCAGCCAUGCCGCGUGAGUGAUGAAGGCCUUAGGGUUGUAAAGCUCUUUCGCCAGGGACGAUAAUGACGGUACCUGGAUAAGAAGCCCCGGCUAACUUCGUGCCAGCCGCCGCCGUAA
Molecule: ribosomal RNA, 447 nt
Filed under: uncultured bacterium
Lineage: Bacteria
Description: partial 16S ribosomal RNA
Rfam family: Bacterial small subunit ribosomal RNA
Source: RNAcentral